This 492-nucleotide ribosomal RNA is filed under the name uncultured bacterium. RNAcentral describes it as "partial 16S ribosomal RNA". It matches the Rfam family "Bacterial small subunit ribosomal RNA", at positions 29 to 507 of the family's 1533-position model. The record is from RNAcentral.
AUUGAACGCUGGCGGCAUGCUUUACACAUGCAAGUCGAACGGUAACAGGCCUUCGGGUGCUGACGAGUGGCGAACGGGUGAGUAAUGCAUCGGAACGUACCCAGAGGUGGGGGAUAACGCAGCGAAAGCUGUGCUAAUACCGCAUGUGAUCUGAGGAUGAAAGCGGGGGACAGGGCAGCAAUGUUUGGCCUCGCGCCUUUGGAGCGGCCGAUGUCGGAUUAGCUAGUUGGGGGGGUAAAGGCCUACCAAGGCGACGAUCCGUAGCUGGUCUGAGAGGACGGCCAGCCACACUGGGACUGAGACACGGCCCAGACUCCUACGGGAGGCAGCAGUGGGGAAUUUUGGACAAUGGGCGCAAGCCUGAUCCAGCAAUGCCGCGUGCGGGAAGAAGGCCUUCGGGUUGUAAACCGCUUUUGGCAGGAACGAAACGGUGUCCGCUAAUACCGGGCGCUAAUGACGGUACCUGCAGAAUAAGCACCGGCUAACUACGUG